CAACUUUGGUCAAUCCAAUGGGUAGAUCACUGCAGUUUUUUAUAGUGGGAGUAGAUCACAGUCUCUCGGGAGCUGGACAUGCCUGCUCUACAUGAUCAGUUUCCCCAAAUCAGACAUGGCCAAAGGUAUCUUCCCCCCAUACGUUCUACUUGCUUGUUCCCCAUCAAUUCAGUUGAGCUUUCCAGCGAUGUUCCUCGUGCCACAGCAGUAUCUACUCUAUCACGUAUCAGCUGUGUCUCCUCCCUAAUUUAACCUCGAAGCAUCUUCUUCCUGUACCUGCUUGACCCCGUCCCCAGCUUACCAGUGCUUUUCUGCUUCAGUACCCUAGGCGGAAGUCUUGGAUUACACUCUGUAUAGUUCACAGCUUGCAUGUUGCACUUGGCUUCUUCUGCAGAAUGGAGACGAGCUCUUAUGCAGAGGGGAAGUGAGCAAAAUGCUCUUCUUGUGAUUGCUCUCUGUGGAUCUUCCAUGUUCUUGCCAAUGAACGUUUUAAAAUAAAAGACUCUCAGCACAACCAAGCACUUGCGUGCGAUCUUUAGCAACACUGCUAGCUGGUUCUAUUGUAAUGCCCAUGCAAAGGUGUACCUUGGCUUCCACCAGCUGAGGCAGCUCACCACUACAGGAGUCUUUCACACAUCCUGAGAAUUGCUCUGGAACAGUGGAGUUAACACCCUUCAGCCUUAUUCUAAAAUACUUGAUGGCAAUAAUAUGUAGCCCAUUUUUCUUUCAGGAACAGAUAAGCCUUCCUGGAAGCAGCCACUGUACUUCCUAUGUGAGUCAUACACACUGAGCUGUUUAGGUCCUAGUCAACUUAUUCUAGGUUCCAAUGGCUAAACAUUGCAACCAUUCAAUACAAUUUUUCUUUGUAUAGUAUGUAUAAAUAGAUUUCUGGGCAGCUGCAGUAGCUGUUCUCAACAGUAGCCCAACUCCUCCAACACACAUUUCUAAACUUAAAUUGAGAAACUUGUUUGCAUCUUUAGCCCAAGUAGAAAUUGCAAAUCAAUCCCCAAUGAGCAUAUACGGUAGUACCUCGGGUUAAGUACUUAAUCUGUUCCGGAGGUCCUUUCUUAACCUGAAACUGUUCUUAACCUGAGGUACUUUAGCUAAUGGGGCCUCCCACUGCCGUCGCAAUUUCUGUUCUCAUCCUGAAGCAAAGUUCUUAACCCAAGGUACUAUUUCUGGGUUAGCGGAGUCUGUAACCUGAAGCGUCUGCAACCCGAGGUACCACUGUAUAGGAUGGACACAGGACAAAUUCAGCAGCUGACUUCUCAUCUGAAAACAUUUCAGGCCUCUUACAUCAUAGCUGUACAGUGAGAAAGUGUAUAGCUCACAUAGAACAAACAGACCAGAACCAAUGAUCUUAAUAAUAAUAAAUAGGUGUUUCAAUACUGAUGCUUUAUAGCAGCACUUAACAUUGUAUAUACUUCUCGCAAGACAACUGCUUGAGAUUAGUAUGUCUGCUAUGGAUGGUGAUUAGUUUUGGUAAAGAAAGUAGGCCUGAUUCACAGUCCUUCAUACAGAGAAGCUGAUUGUAAAACUACUUCCCCUGUUGCUACCAGUGUUAUUCACCUGUUGCAGGCUAGAAAGGGUACCCAGAUUGAUAGGAGGACAUGCAUGAGAACCUAGAUUAUUUAAUUUCCUUGGGAUGCUCAAGACCUCCAGGUACCUCUUCAAACUAUUAAGAGUUUGCUCUCUUCCUCCUAUGAGAUGCUUUUGACUAAUAAAAUCUUUUCUAGUUCUCUCCCAUUAAAACUUGAGAGCAGGUGCAGAGGCACGGCAGAAAAUACACCAAACAUCAGCCAACACAAUAUGAGUCACAGAGCUAACUUUUGCUUUGGUUUAAAUCGAGCUUUUUAGGUACCUAUAUACCACUGCAUCCGUGCUUCAAUCCAAUGUUUCAAGAGUAGAAAAAUCUGCAUUGGCACCCCGUGAACAUAUUGCCAACUGCAGCACCUCAAGCCAAUCUGGAGAGCACUCAAACUGUGGGGAGAGGAGCUGAGAAGGACACACCUAGACUGCUUUUUGUUUAGGAACAUGACUCUUGUGGGUACCAUAGCACCCUCAGACAUCUUCCUUUAUCUCUCCCAUAUUUUUUUAAAAAAGAACUGUUUUCAUUUGGGGGAAUUGACUAAAAAAUAAUACUGUGUGUUUCGAGUUGUAUGAAGCCAUUUUGCCUUGAAGGGGUGGGGAACAAGUAGUCUUUCCCUGCUACAUAAAAUAUAACCAUGGCAGACUAUUGUGACUGCUGCCUUCAAAGAUCCCAAUCUCUUUCCUGUUUUUGGCUACCAAAAUCCCUUAAGGGCACAGCAUAACGUUUAAAACAUCUAAUGUAGGCACACUCCAAAAUCUUCCCAACAGAUGCAGAGCUUGAAGUCAUAAUUUACUAUCACAUCUAAACCAGGCAAACUAUGGUUUGCUUGCAAACCAAGAUGACAAAUCAGUCUGAACUAGGGUUGUGGGCAAACUAUAGUUUUCUUGCCCUGGCUGUAAUGUCAAGCUAUGGCUUUUUAUUUAACAGUGAAUGGUCUGGGGCGGUGGGGGGGGGUCAGGUAAGACAGAGCUUGUUCACAUAGCCCCCGUGAUUUGGCAUUACAUCUGAACUGAUCUAGAAUGAGGCAGAUCACAUACACUCACAGUUCUGUUACCCAGAAGUGAGUUACCUAAUUUACGCCAUCUAUACUAAACUCAG
Molecule: long non-coding RNA, 2689 nt
Organism: Podarcis raffonei (Aeolian wall lizard)
Lineage: Eukaryota; Metazoa; Chordata; Lepidosauria; Squamata; Lacertidae
Exons: 2
Source: RefSeq, a predicted model, not a curated record